AUGGCCAUAGAUCGGAACGGUCUCCUCGCCUCUUUGACUUCGAGGGGCGACUCCGAUGGCUUCUUCGACAACUGGAAGAUUCUGGCCUUGUUCACCUUCCUCGCCCUCUUGGUUUUCGGCUCCGGUUGCAUGCUAGCUCACGGCCUCCAGUUUGUUGGGAGGAUCAAGUUCUCCAUGGAACCCGUCGUCUACGCCGGGUUCGGGCCCGACUUCGCCGCCAAUGCCACCACGCCGCCGUCCUUCAACGUCACUCUGCACGCCAAGAGCACGUAUCGGCGCACGUUCUGCUGGGGCGACGACACCGGCGGGGGCGCGACGGUGGAAGUGGUCUACUCCGGCGUGGUUAUUGCCAAGGCGGACGUCGCACCCUUCUGCGUUCGGGGGAAGGGGGACACCGUGAUCGCCGCGACUGUCACCGCCGGGUGGCCGGCUCUGCCCAGAGAUUUCCGCGAGCGCAUCGAGGGCGACCGACGGCACGGCGGAGUGGAUGUGGAGGUGGACCUCAGCUUCGACUGGAUGUGGGUGCGUUGCCGCACCACGUUGGAUGCAAAGCACGCCUCUCCUACUCCCUGCCAAUAUUUCAGUUUUAUUCCACCAGUGAGUUCUGCAGCUAUGUAA
RNAcentral lists this ribosomal RNA (618 nucleotides) under Triticum aestivum (bread wheat). RNAcentral's name for it is "partial small subunit ribosomal RNA". Lineage: Eukaryota; Viridiplantae; Streptophyta; Magnoliopsida; Poales; Poaceae. The record is from RNAcentral.